RNAcentral lists this long non-coding RNA (201 nucleotides) under Elaeis guineensis (African oil palm). RNAcentral's name for it is "long non-coding RNA (EGUI_LNC032086)". The record is from RNAcentral. Lineage: Eukaryota; Viridiplantae; Streptophyta; Magnoliopsida; Arecales; Arecaceae.
GCCCAACAUAAAGAUCCUCGAAUCGAGAGCACAGGAGAAUUAUCUUGACUUACAUAUUUCUUCAAAAUCAAAUGGACUCUCCAUUUCCAAUUUUAAAAGCACGGUCCCAAAAGGCUUCAUUAUUAGAACUCACAUCUUUCCAAAUGGGUGAAAAGCCCGAUGUUGACUUCUUCACUCUCAUCCCUAGCUUUCUCCUUGAAU